GACCGCGUAGCUCAGUUGGCAGAGCAUUGGGCUAGUAUUCCAAAGGUCGUAGGUCCAAUUCCAACCGUGGCCA
Non-coding RNA from Paramuricea clavata, 73 nucleotides. The record is from the annotation of a GenBank genome assembly. NCBI's taxonomy places the organism in Eukaryota, Metazoa, Cnidaria, Anthozoa, Malacalcyonacea, Plexauridae.